This 496-nucleotide ribosomal RNA is filed under the name uncultured bacterium. RNAcentral's name for it is "partial 16S ribosomal RNA". It matches the Rfam family "Bacterial small subunit ribosomal RNA", at positions 28 to 506 of the family's 1533-position model. The record is from RNAcentral.
GAUGAACGCUGUCGGCGUGCCUAAUACAUGCAAGUCGAGCGAACGGACGAGAAGCUUGCUUCUCUGAUGUUAGCGGCGGACGGGUGAGUAACACGUGGAUAACCUACCUAUAAGACUGGGAUAACUUCGGGAAACCGGAGCUAAUACCGGAUAAUAUUUUGAACCGCAUGGUUCAAAAGUGAAAGACGGUCUUGCUGUCACUUAUAGAUGGAUCCGCGCUGCAUUAGCUAGUUGGUAAGGUAACGGCUUACCAAGGCAACGAUGCAUAGCCGACCUGAGAGGGUGAUCGGCCACACUGGAACUGAGACACGGUCCAGACUCCUACGGGAGGCAGCAGUAGGGAAUCUUCCGCAAUGGGCGAAAGCCUGACGGAGCAACGCCGCGUGAGUGAUGAAGGUCUUCGGAUCGUAAAACUCUGUUAUUAGGGAAGAACAUAUGUGUAAGUAACUGUGCACAUCUUGACGGUACCUAAGCAGAAAGCCACGGCUAACUACGU